This is a long non-coding RNA of Herpailurus yagouaroundi (jaguarundi), 437 nucleotides long. RefSeq lists it as uncharacterized. Lineage: Eukaryota; Metazoa; Chordata; Mammalia; Carnivora; Felidae. The record is from RefSeq and is a predicted model, not a curated record. The transcript is spliced from 3 exons.
GCCGCCCCCGCCCCCUGGCCGGGGACGCGGGGGGCUCGGGCAGGUCACGCGACCCGCUGCUUCCUCUGCGUCCGUUCCCGGCGGCGGCAGCGAGAGCAAGGACGUGCGAAACUGCACCCAAGUCCCUCCUUCCUGUGCUGGAAUCUGGACUGCCCUCUGCUGAUGCCGCAGCUGCCCCAGUCACCACUGCCUGGAGUCUACGCCCAGUGCCGUAGACUUGGUUCCAAAGGGCUUUCGAGAAGCUCACAAAAAACUGCUCCCUGAAUCCUUGAGGAUCUAAAGCGGCCGUAGGCACCUAACGCAGCAAGGAGCUUUAUAAUGAAUGGACCAGGCUGAAAUUACCAGAACUUCCUGAUCAACCACGGCAUCGACAACCAGACACCGCGUGCCUCCUGAUGGGAUACACGGUACUACUUCUGAAAUAUUCCUGGGAAAAA